UACGUAGGGGGCAAGCGUUGUCCGGAAUCAUUGGGCGUAAAGAGCGUGUAGGCGGCUCGAUAAGUCUGCUGUGAAAGUCCAGGGCUCAACCCUGGAAGGCCGGUGGAAACUGUCGGGCUAGAGUCCGGAAGAGGCGAGUGGAAUUCCCGGUGUAGCGGUGAAAUGCGCAGAUAUCGGGAGGAACACCAAUGGCGAAGGCAGCUCGCUGGGACGGUACUGACGCUGAGACGCGAAAGCGUGGUGAGCAAACAGG
RNAcentral lists this ribosomal RNA (253 nucleotides) under uncultured bacterium. Its description in RNAcentral is "partial 16S ribosomal RNA". It matches the Rfam family "Bacterial small subunit ribosomal RNA", at positions 524 to 776 of the family's 1533-position model. The record is from RNAcentral.